This 440-nucleotide ribosomal RNA is filed under the name uncultured bacterium. RNAcentral's name for it is "bacterial SSU rRNA". It matches the Rfam family "Bacterial small subunit ribosomal RNA", at positions 338 to 795 of the family's 1533-position model. The record is from RNAcentral.
CCUACGGGAGGCAGCAGUGGGGAAUAUUGCACAAUGGGGGAAACCCUGAUGCAGCAACGCCGCGUGAGCGAUGAAGGCCUUCGGGUCGUAAAGCUCUGUCCUAAGGGAAGAAUAAUGACGGUACCUUAGGAGGAAGCCCCGGCUAACUACGGGCCGGCAGCCGCGGUAAUACGUAGGGGGCUAGCGUUAUCCGGAAUUACUGGGCGUAAAGGGUGCGUAGGCGGCCCUUCAAGUCAGAGGUGACAGGCUACGGAUCAACCGUAGUAAGCCUUUGAAACGGGAGGGCUUGCGUGCCGGAGAGGAGAGUGGAAUUCCCAGUGUAGCGGUGAAAUGCUUAGAUAUUGGGACGAACACCAGUUGCGAAGGCCGCUCCCUGGACUGUAACUGCCGCUGAGGCACGAAAGCGUGGGGAGCGAACAGGAUUAGAUACCUUUGUAGUC